GAUGAACGCUGGCGGCGUGCCUAAUACAUGCAAGUCGAGCGAACGGACGAGAAGCUUGCUUCUCUGAUGUUAGCGGCGGACGGGUGAGUAACACGUGGAUAACCUACCUAUAAGACUGGGAUAACUUCGGGAAACCGGAGCUAAUACCGGAUAAUAUUUUGAACCGCAUGGUUCAAAAGUGAAAGACGGUCUUGCUGUCACUUAUAGAUGGAUCCGCGCUGCAUUAGCUAGUUGGUAAGGUAACGGCUUACCAAGGCAACGAUGCAUAGCCGACCUGAGAGGGUGAUCGGCCACACUGGAACUGAGACACGGUCCAGACUCCUACGGGAGGCAGCAGUAGGGAAUCUUCCGCAAAGGGCGAAAGCCUGACGGAGCAACGCCGCGUGAGUGAUGAAGGUCUUCGGAUAGUAAAACUCUGUUAUUAGGGAAGAACAUAUGUGUAAGUAACUGUGCACAUCUUGACGGUACCUAAUCAGAAAGCCACGGCUAACUACGUG
This 497-nucleotide ribosomal RNA is filed under the name uncultured bacterium. RNAcentral describes it as "partial 16S ribosomal RNA". It matches the Rfam family "Bacterial small subunit ribosomal RNA", at positions 28 to 507 of the family's 1533-position model. The record is from RNAcentral.